CGGGACGGGUGAGUAAUGUCUGGGAAACUGCCCGAUGGAGGGGGAUAACUACUGGAAACGGUAGCUAGUACCGCAUAACGUCGCAAGACCAAAGAGGGGGACCUUCGGGCCUCUUGCCAUCGGAUGUGCCCAGAUGGGAUUAGCUAGUAGGUGGGGUAACGGCUCACCUAGGCGACGAUCCCUAGCUGGUCUGAGAGGAUGAUCAGCCACACUGGAACUGAGACACGGUCCAG
Molecule: ribosomal RNA, 233 nt
Filed under: uncultured bacterium
Lineage: Bacteria
Description: partial 16S ribosomal RNA
Rfam family: Bacterial small subunit ribosomal RNA
Source: RNAcentral